RNAcentral lists this long non-coding RNA (553 nucleotides) under Zostera marina. RNAcentral describes it as "long non-coding RNA (ZMAR_LNC004852)". The record is from RNAcentral. Lineage: Eukaryota; Viridiplantae; Streptophyta; Magnoliopsida; Alismatales; Zosteraceae.
GGACUUGCCUUUUGCUCUUUAAGUUUACUACAGUAUAUGAAUACGUAGUCAACUUUUCAGAUGGUGUUUUAUAAACAACUAUAGUAUAUGAAUACUAAGUUAUAUUAUAAACACAAGUUAUAUUAUAGAGUAAAUGACCAGAUAACUGGAUAUAUUGAUAAGCAAGUAAAUGAUCAGAUAACUGGAUAUAUUGAUAAACAAGUAGAUGACCAGAUAACUGGAUAUAUAUGAUAAGUAAAUGCUUGAACAAAUAUGAAUAAAGCAAUGAAUAUAACCUCAGAUGGUUGACCAGAUAACUGGAUGAGGGAUCUGCGUAAAAUAGUCAACCUCUGUAUUUGACCAGAUAACUGGAAGAGGGAUCUUUUUAAUUAAGUGUUGUUUUUAGAUAAAAGAUAAAACUAUAAUUAACAGAGAACAACACAAGAGAUUUAUACUGGUUCACCCAAACAAGGGCUAGUCCAGUCCCGAUCAACUGUCGGAAUUCACUCGCCUAAAGGUAAUGGCAAAACCUUAGAGUAUCAAGGAAACUCUUAAGAACCUCUCUAAGCUUUAA